AUGCCACCAAUUUGUAAGUCGCUCUGGAUAAGAGCGUCUGCUAAAUGACGUAAA
Salmo salar (Atlantic salmon) is the source of this 54-nucleotide non-coding RNA. The record is from Rfam. NCBI's taxonomy places the organism in Eukaryota, Metazoa, Chordata, Actinopteri, Salmoniformes, Salmonidae.